This is a non-coding RNA of Gossypium raimondii (Peruvian cotton), 45 nucleotides long. The record is from Rfam. NCBI's taxonomy places the organism in Eukaryota, Viridiplantae, Streptophyta, Magnoliopsida, Malvales, Malvaceae.
CCAAUGGAGUUUUUAAACUCCACAAACAGAACUAGAAAGUUGACA